RNAcentral lists this ribosomal RNA (431 nucleotides) under uncultured bacterium. RNAcentral describes it as "partial 16S ribosomal RNA". It matches the Rfam family "Bacterial small subunit ribosomal RNA", at positions 29 to 507 of the family's 1533-position model. The record is from RNAcentral.
AACGAACGCUGGCGGCAGGCUUAACACAUGCAAGUCGAACGCCCCGCAAGGGGAGUGGCAGACGGGUGAGUAACGCGUGGGAACAUACCCUUUCCUGCGGAAUAGCUCCGGGAAACUGGAAUUAAUACCGCAUACGCCCUACGUGGGAAAGAUUUAUCGGGGAAGGAUUGGCCCGCGUUGGAUUAGCUAGUUGGUGGGGUAAAGGCCUACCAAGGCGACGAUCCAUAGCUGUUCUGAGAGGAUGAUCAGCCACAUUGGGACUGAGACACGGCCCAAACUCCUACGGGAGGCAGCAGUGGGGGAUAUUGGACAAUGGGCGCAAGCCUGAUCCAGCCAUGCCGCGUGAGUGAUGAAGGCCUUAGGGUUGUAAAGCUCUUUCACCGAUGAAGAUAAUGACGGUAGUCGGAGAAGAAGCCCCGGCUAACUUCGUG